CCUACGGGAGGCAGCAGUGAGGAAUAUUGGUCAAUGGACGAGAGUCUGAACCAGCCAAGUAGCGUGAAGGAUGACUGCCCUAUGGGUUGUAAACUUCUUUUAUAAAGGAAUAAAACGAGGCACGUGUGCCUUUUUGCAUGUACUUUAUGAAUAAGGAUCGGCUAACUCCGUGCCAGCAGCCGCGGUAAUACGGAGGAUCCGAGCGUUAUCCGGAUUUAUUGGGUUUAAAGGGAGCGUAGAUGGGUUGUUAAGUCAGUUGUGAAAGUUUGCGGCUCAACCGUAAAAUUGCAAUUGAUACUGGCAGUCGUGAGUACAGUUGAGGUAAGCGGAAUUCGUGGUGUAGCGGUGAAAUGCUUAGAGAUCACGAAGAACCCCGAUUGCGAAGGCAGCUUACUAAACUGUGACUGACAUUGAUGCUCGAAAGUGUGGGUAUCAAACAGGAUUAGAUACCCGGGUAGUC
This 460-nucleotide ribosomal RNA is filed under the name uncultured bacterium. RNAcentral's name for it is "partial 16S ribosomal RNA". It matches the Rfam family "Bacterial small subunit ribosomal RNA", at positions 338 to 795 of the family's 1533-position model. The record is from RNAcentral.